This 381-nucleotide ribosomal RNA is filed under the name uncultured microorganism. Its description in RNAcentral is "bacterial SSU rRNA". It matches the Rfam family "Archaeal small subunit ribosomal RNA", at positions 330 to 712 of the family's 1478-position model. The record is from RNAcentral.
GCGCACCAGGCGAGAAACCUCCGCAAUACACGAAAGUGUGACGGGGCCAUCCCGAGUGCCGUCCGCUGAGGACGGCUUUUCCCCAGUGUACAUAGCUGGGGGAAUAAGGAGAGGGCAAGCCUGGUGUCAGCCGCCGCGGUAAUACCAGCUCUCCGAGUGGUGGGGACGCUUAUUGGGCCUAAAGCAUCCGUAGCCGGCUGGGCAAGUCCUCCGUUAAAUCCAACGAUUCAAUCGUUGGGCUGCGGGGAUACUGUCCAGCUUGGGGGCGGGAGAGGCCGACGGUAUUCCCCGGGGUAGGGGUGAAAUCCUAUAAUCCCGGGAGGACCACCAGUGGCCGAAGGCUGUCGGCUAGAACGCGCCCGACGGUGAGGGAUGAAAGCU